CGCCGACUGCCCUCACUAGCUGGUAGGUCGUGAGCGAUAACAGUCGUUUCUCUGCGCCGCUUCGGCCAAUUGGCUAACUAGGGGGUCUUUGUCAAAAUCUGGGGGGUCAAAUCGCCAGUGCGUUAGACUCUUUAGAAAUCGUCAGUUUCUCUUCAAAAUUAUCCGUCAUGAGAGCGGAUGGGAAGAAGGAUCGCCGUCGGGAAUCCGUUUCAGAUAUGGAUCUGAUGCUACAAAAUUGUCAUGCUACAGAGUGCACACAAAAUCAACCCAAGGGAUGGUCUCCACAAGACCAGAUGUUUCAGUGUCACUCCAAAUUUCGUAGUCAGUUGGGUGAAUUCGCUUCGAGGUACCAAAUGAAGAAUGGUGGGCGCCAUUUCGAUCAAACUCGUGAGUUCUCCAUCAAGGGCAGUGACAUCACCAUCUGCUCUUUCUUAGCAGACGUAGCAAGCCAGCAGCAACAGGAUCUCAAGAAUGACGCAUUCAGUAGCUGGUACAGCCGCAGCACCAGCGAUCCUUGGAGAAACGGACACAACAGGUUCCGUUGUCACGGAAACUAAACUCCCGAUCCGCAGAGAGAAAAUCAAGAUGCGACCUUGAGUAGCAGGUCAGUGGAAGAAGCUGACCAUGUCAUCUGAACCUGCUUGAACAGUUUCCCCAAAGGUCGCAAAUAAGCAUCACAGGUCCUGGUAUAACGGACGAACACAUCGGACCCGACUGGAAUAUCCAAGAUGUGACCUUGGAUAAGUGGCCCUUGCAAAACGGCCGAUUACACUUGGACCCGCAAAUAGUGUGCCCAGGUCUUCAUACAACUUUUGGCCUCCAACCCUCUGCCCGAUGACUGAGAACAACCUCUGACUGUGCCCAGUCUGGGUUGAGCUGAAAACUUCACCAGGCUUCUCAUUAUGUGCCAUGAUGCGACUUUGGCCGAGGAGUCUGGCCGGCUGGAAGCAAAGCCUGGAUCUAGGAACAGGAGAAGGGGUUCAAGGUCCUAUACAACAGCAGAAGGGGUCGAAUCAAGGUACACGCGGUGUCCCAGUCUAUUGGAUGAUCACUCUUGAAACCCUAUGGAAGAAGAGGACGGUUUCCAUCAAGAAAAGUCGUCACUGAAGUUGAUCCCAACUGGAAAAGUGAUUUCAGUGUGGAAAGUCUCCAGCAGAAACAACUGAGGUUAACCACAGCAAAGAGUUAAAAGCGCCAAGAAAGGAGUUUAUCUUAACUCACAGCACUGCAGAAAGUUCUCUUCAAAAUGUCAGUCUGCUGCUAACAGAACACACGUGGGAACAACACUGAGGCAAAAUCAGUCUGCAGAAGAAAUUGCAAAAGACGAAUCAGCUGCAAAAUUCUGACUUCUGCAUAAGGAAAGGAGCCUUUACUGGAAUUGUCAACCAGAUCAAAUUUGAAGUUAGGUUAGGUUUCAAGACUCGCAUUUUUGAAUUGUCCAAAAAUUGCAAGAGCCAAUCAAACAUAAAGUGAUCUCAUAUGUUUAAUUAUCAUGCUUUGUUAGAAGGGAAAGUGUGAAUAAAAACAGUACAACCA
Long non-coding RNA from Macrobrachium nipponense, 1536 nucleotides. RefSeq lists it as uncharacterized. NCBI's taxonomy places the organism in Eukaryota, Metazoa, Arthropoda, Malacostraca, Decapoda, Palaemonidae. The record is from RefSeq and is a predicted model, not a curated record. The transcript has 4 exons.